GUUAAGUUUUGGUGGUCAAGUCCAUAUCUCAGAUACUAUAAGCAAUAGGGCUAGUAUAUUCGGUGUAUGGAAGGACUGUAAGGUGUACAUGUCCAACUGGCAGGUGUCAUCUGACCUUGACCUCAUUUUCAUGGUUCAGUGGUUAUAGUUAAAUUUUUGUGUUUUGGUCUGUUUUUUUCGUACUAUAUGCAAUAGGUCUACUAUAUUUGUUAUAUGGAAUGAUUGUAAGGUGUACAUGUCUAGCGGGCAGAUGUCAUGGGACCUUGACCUCAUUUUCAUGGUUCAGUGGUUAUAGUUAAAUUUUUGUGUUUUGGUCUUUUUUUUCAUACUAUAUGCAAUAGGUCUACUAUAUUUGUUGUAUGGAAUGAUUGUAAGGUGUACAUGUCUAGCGGGCAGAUGUCAUGUGACCUUGACCUCAUUUUCAUGGUUCAGUGGUCAAAGUUAAGUUUUGAGUUUUGGUCUUUUUAUCUAAUACUAUAUGCCAUAGGUCAACUAUAUUUGGUGUAUGGAAAUAUUUUAUGAUCUUUAUGUCAGUAGCGCAGGUUUCUUUUGACCCUGACCUAAUUUUCACGGUUCAUUGCACAGUGUUAAGUUUUUGUGUUUUGGUCUAUUUUUCUUAAACUAUAAGUAAUAGGUCAACUACAUAUGUUGUAUAGAGGCAUUGUUAGCUGUACAUGUCUGCCUGGCAUGGUUCAUCUGACCUUGACCUCAUUUUCAUGGUUCAUUGGUCUUUGUUUAGUUAUCUUGGUUAAUGUUAAGUUUAUGAGACAGUUGUAAUAAAGCUUUAUACUUAGGACUAUCUACAUAAUAUCAAUGAUUAGUAUAGAAGGCGAG
Molecule: long non-coding RNA, 834 nt
Filed under: Mytilus galloprovincialis (Mediterranean mussel)
Lineage: Eukaryota; Metazoa; Mollusca; Bivalvia; Mytilida; Mytilidae
Source: RNAcentral